CAUGAUGUUGACUACUGAUCUACAUAGUUCACAGGUUAAACGGAAGAUAACGAAAGAGCAGUACAUUCAAAUGAAUCGUGGUAUAAAUGACAGUAAAGAUCUUCCAUCUGAAUAUCUUGAAGCAAUUUAUGAUGAUAUUGCACAGAAUGAAAUCAAGAUGAAACAUACACCAAAAGUGAACAGUAGAUACGAUGCUACAUAUUUGCAAAGUGAGAAACAUCGUCGUAUGCUGUAUUCUAUGGAAAUGGAG
Xenia sp. Carnegie-2017 is the source of this 250-nucleotide long non-coding RNA. RefSeq lists it as uncharacterized. Lineage: Eukaryota; Metazoa; Cnidaria; Anthozoa; Malacalcyonacea; Xeniidae. The transcript is spliced from 3 exons. The record is from RefSeq and is a predicted model, not a curated record.